Syzygium oleosum is the source of this 733-nucleotide long non-coding RNA. RefSeq lists it as uncharacterized. The record is from RefSeq and is a predicted model, not a curated record. The transcript has 3 exons. NCBI's taxonomy places the organism in Eukaryota, Viridiplantae, Streptophyta, Magnoliopsida, Myrtales, Myrtaceae.
UCGCAGCUCGACCACCACCGGACGGCGAGCGAGAUCGCCGCCAUCCUCCAUCACCAUGACUGGGAGCUCCUCCUUCGUUCCUCCGACCUUCCCCAGAGGCUCAAUCCCGACGUGGUGCUCUCCGUGCUUCGCCAGAACCAGGAGUAUGUGCAUCCCUUCCCAGUUAUAUACUAGACGAAUGUUCUGAUGCCAUGGUACUAGUCAUAAAGGUUGCCAGUGGAGUUCUUUUCUUCAUGCUGCCUCCAAAAUGUAAGUGAGCAAUGGAGGGGAACUGGAGAGGCAGGAGUUGACUUAAUUUCAACUUUCACUCAAAUGUGAUAUGAUUCCAUCUGGCUGAUUUUCAUGACCGCAAUUGUCAAAAUAAGUGCUUUUCAUCGACUCGGAAGACAUUAGAGACUCACUUGCAGUGGAAUUGGAAAUAACAGAUAGAGCGGUCUUAGCAGUGGUAGAUGCGGAAACAACGGAUAUACCAGUAAGCUUGUGAUUAUGUGGGCUCACUCAAUGGUUGCUGUCAGUUUAGCACUACAGCCAUUUCAAUUUGUGUGCCCGAUGCAAUUGUUAUUUCUCGAGAUUCAACUACAUUCCUUUGCUCCCAAAUUACAACCAUGCUCAAGUUGGCAUAACUAUGCCGUCCUGUUAAUUUUAAUUGAGGCGCUAGGUUCAUGUCCAUGUGGUAAUUGUGACGGGGAGUGUAUCUCUCUUAAUGAAAAAUAAAAGUUGUCAGUUCUUUAAA